GCGGGGAGUCUAGCGAAGUGCUCCCCACACAGCCACCCUGCCGAAGGGCCUGAGGUUCCAGGUGCGAGGCCUCUCCAUGCGGCCCCUGCGAGCCAGUGAAACUAGACUGAGCACGAAGGAUAAGGAAGAAAAAAGUCCCUCCAAACACAUUUGCUCACUCCCAGCUUGAAAGAUGACGCCACCCUGACACCCACAGUCACUCAUGAGAGAUGCUGAGGAGCCUCCCAAACCAGAAUCAUCUCGGAGGUUUGUCCUCUCUUCUGUAGAUGAACCUGCAUCCGCUCUACCUCCUCAGUUCUCAUCACAGCAUCUUAUCUCCAUCUGCACCUGGGUGUGUGUUGUGUCUGCGUGAGCUCACGACCCCUCAAGGCCAGAACUGUGGGCGUCCCUCUCCUCUU
Molecule: long non-coding RNA, 398 nt
Organism: Cervus elaphus (red deer)
Lineage: Eukaryota; Metazoa; Chordata; Mammalia; Artiodactyla; Cervidae
Exons: 3
Source: RefSeq, a predicted model, not a curated record